Molecule: ribosomal RNA, 404 nt
Filed under: uncultured bacterium
Lineage: Bacteria
Description: bacterial SSU rRNA
Rfam family: Bacterial small subunit ribosomal RNA
Source: RNAcentral
GGGAAUAUUGCACAAUGGGCGCAAGCCUGAUGCAGCAACGCCGCGUGAGCGAAGAAGGUCUUCGGAUCGUAAAGCUCUGUCCUUGAGGAAGAAGGAAGUGACGGUACUCAAGGAGGAAGCUCCGGCUAACUACGUGCCAGCAGCCGCGGUAAUACGUAGGGGGCAAGCGUUAUCCGGAAUUAUUGGGCGUAAAGAGUACGUAGGUGGUUUUGUAAGCGCGGGGUGAAAGGCAGUGGCUUAACCAUUGUAAGCCUUGCGAACUGCAAGACUUGAGUGCAGGAGAGGAAAGCGGAAUUCCUAGUGUAGCGGUGAAAUGCUUAGAUAUUAGGAGGAACACCAGUGGCGAAGGCGGCUUGCUGGACGAUGACUGACGCUGAGGCUCGAAAGCGUGGGGAGCAAACAGG